RNAcentral lists this ribosomal RNA (249 nucleotides) under uncultured bacterium. RNAcentral's name for it is "partial 16S ribosomal RNA". It matches the Rfam family "Bacterial small subunit ribosomal RNA", at positions 524 to 776 of the family's 1533-position model. The record is from RNAcentral.
GACAGGGGGGGCUGGCGUUAUUCUUCAUUAAUUGGCGUAAAGGGUUACGUCGACUCCUUUUUUUUAAUUUUUGUAAAAAGCCAAUUUAUUGGAAAAAAAAUUUAAUGUUAAAGGUAGAGUUAAGUGCAGGGUUACAAGAAUUUUUAGUGUAGAAGUGAAGUACGAAAAAACUAAAAGGAAUGCUCAAAGCGAAGGCAAGUAACCAUAAUUAACUGACGUUGAGGUACUAAGGUGUGGGGAGCAAAUGGG